CUACGGGGUGCACCAGUGAGGAAUAUUGCACAAUGGGGGGAACCCUGAUGCAGCAACGCCGCGUGGAGGAUGACGCAUUUCGGUGUGUAAACUCCUUUUAUAUGUCAAGAAAAUGACGGUGGCAUAUGAAUAAGCACCGGCUAACUCCGUGCCAGCAGCCGCGGUAAUACGGAGGGUGCAAGCGUGUACUCGGAAUCACUGGGCGUAAAGGACGCGUAGGCGGGUUGGAAAGUCAGGUGUGAAAUCCUACAGCUUAACUGUAGAACUGCACUUGAAACUUCUAAUCUAGAGUAUGGGAGGGGGAGAUGGAAUUAGUGGUGUAGGGGUAAAAUCCGUAGAUAUCACUAGGAAUACCUAAAGCGAAGGCGAUCUCCUGGAACAUUACUGACGCUAAGGCGUGAAAGCGUGGGGAGCAAACAGGAUUAGAUACCCGGGUAGUC
Molecule: ribosomal RNA, 440 nt
Filed under: uncultured bacterium
Lineage: Bacteria
Description: partial 16S ribosomal RNA
Rfam family: Bacterial small subunit ribosomal RNA
Source: RNAcentral